AUUGAACGCUGGCGGCAUGCUUUACACAUGCAAGUCGAACGGUAACAGGCCGCAAGGUGCUGACGAGUGGAGAACGGGUGAGUAAUGCAUCGGAACGUGCCCAGUCGUGGGGGAUAACUACUCGAAAGAGUAGCUAAUACCGCAUACGAUCUAUGGAUGAAAGCGGGGGACCGUAAGGCCUCGCGCGAUUGGAGCGGCCGAUGUCAGAUUAGGUAGUUGGUGGGGUAAAGGCUCACCAAGCCAACGAUCUGUAGCUGGUCUGAGAGGACGACCAGCCACACUGGGACUGAGACACGGCCCAGACUCCUACGGGAGGCAGCAGUGGGGAAUUUUGGACAAUGGGCGCAAGCCUGAUCCAGCAAUGCCGCGUGCAGGAAGAAGGCCUUCGGGUUGUAAACUGCUUUUGUACGGAACGAAACGGCUCUGGUUAAUACCCGGGGCUAAUGACGGUACCGUAAGAAUAAGCACCGGCUAACUACGUG
RNAcentral lists this ribosomal RNA (482 nucleotides) under uncultured bacterium. Its description in RNAcentral is "partial 16S ribosomal RNA". It matches the Rfam family "Bacterial small subunit ribosomal RNA", at positions 30 to 507 of the family's 1533-position model. The record is from RNAcentral.